RNAcentral lists this unclassified non-coding RNA (317 nucleotides) under plant metagenome. RNAcentral describes it as "partial contains 5.8S ribosomal RNA, internal transcribed spacer 2, and large subunit ribosomal RNA". The stretch from base 1 to 106 matches the Rfam family "5.8S ribosomal RNA", at positions 49 to 154 of the family's 154-position model. The record is from RNAcentral.
CGAAAUGCGAUAACUAGUGUGAAUUGCAGAAUUCCGUGAAUCAUCGAGUCUUUGAACGCACAUUGCGCCCCCUGGUAUUCCGGGGGGCAUGCCUGUCCGAGCGUCAUUGCUGCCCAUCAAGCACGGCUUGUGUGUUGGGUCGUCGUCCCCUCUCCGGGGGGGACGGGCCCCAAAGGCAGCGGCGGCACCGCGUCCGAUCCUCGAGCGUAUGGGGCUUUGUCACCCGCUCUGUAGGCCCGGCCGGCGCUUGCCGAACGCAAAUCAAUCUUUUUCCAGGUUGACCUCGGAUCAGGUAGGGAUACCCGCUGAACUUAAGC